UGCUACCAUGCAGUCGAGCGCGAAUGGAGCAAUCCUAGUAGAGCGGCGCACGGGUGCGUAACACGUGGAUAAUCUGCCUGGGUGUCUGGGAUAACCAGUCGAAAGAUUGGCUAAUACCGGAUAAGCCCCCGGGAGCUUCGGCUCUUGAGGGAAAAGGUGGCCUCUGUAUACAAGCUAUCACAUCCAGAUGAGUCCGCGGCCCAUCAGCUAGUUGGCGGGGUAAUGGCCCACCAAGGCAACGACGGGUAGCUGGUCUGAGAGGACGAUCAGCCACACUGGAACUGAGACACGGUCCAGACUCCUACGGGAGGCAGCAGUGGGGAAUUUUGCGCAAUGGGCGAAAGCCUGACGCAGCAACGCCGCGUGUGUGAUGAAGGUCUUCGGAUUGUAAAGCACUUUCGACCGGGACGAAAACCCGUUGGCUAACAUCCAACGGCUUGACGGUACCGGGAGAAGAAGCACCGGCUAACUCUGUGCCAGCAGCCGCGGUAAUACAGAGGGUGCAAGCGUUGUUCGGAAUUAUUGGGCGUAAAGCGCGUGUAGGCGGCUUUGCAAGUCGGGUGUGAAAGCCCUCAGCUCAACUGAGGAAGUGCGCCCGAAACUGCAGAGCUUGAGUGCCGGAGAGGGUGGCGGAAUUCCCCAAGUAGAGGU
This 651-nucleotide ribosomal RNA is filed under the name Archangium sp. Its description in RNAcentral is "bacterial SSU rRNA". It matches the Rfam family "Bacterial small subunit ribosomal RNA", at positions 45 to 682 of the family's 1533-position model. Lineage: Bacteria; Pseudomonadati; Myxococcota; Myxococcia; Myxococcales; Archangiaceae. The record is from RNAcentral.